RNAcentral lists this ribosomal RNA (406 nucleotides) under uncultured bacterium. RNAcentral's name for it is "partial 16S ribosomal RNA". It matches the Rfam family "Bacterial small subunit ribosomal RNA", at positions 30 to 526 of the family's 1533-position model. The record is from RNAcentral.
AUUGAACGCUGGCGGCAGGCCUAACACAUGCAAGUCGAACGAGUGGCGGACGGGUGAGUCCUGUCUGGGAAACUGCCUGAUGGAGGGGGAUAACUACUGGAAACGGUAGCUAAUACCGCAUACCAUCGGAUGUGCACAGAUGGGAUGAGCUAGUAGGUGGGGUAAUGGCUAACCUAGGCGACGAGCCCUAGCUGGUCUGAGAGGAUGACCAGCAACACUGGAACUGAGACACGGUCCAGACUCCUACGUGAGGCAGCAGUGGGAAAUAUUGCACAAUGGGCGCAAGCCAGAUGCAGCCAUGCCGCGUUUAUGAAGAAGGCCUUCGGGUUGUAAAGUACUUUCAGCGGGGAGGCGUUACCCGCAGAAGAAGCACCGGCUAACUCCGAGCCAGCAGCCGCGGUAAUAC